Molecule: long non-coding RNA, 1080 nt
Organism: Ictalurus punctatus (channel catfish)
Lineage: Eukaryota; Metazoa; Chordata; Actinopteri; Siluriformes; Ictaluridae
Source: Ensembl
CCGUUCUCGAUGGAAAAUGUCCAAAAGACGGGAUAUAUUGGCCAUAAAGGGGUGAUGGUGGUAAAUCACGAACGAUACGAACGGAGGUUUAAAAGGUUCUGAUUUCAGGUCGUCUUUAACGCCAUUAAGUCUUGGUGUACGUGAAAGUAGGAGAUGGUUCUGGGGUUAAAAAUGUUGCAUGGCGUCAUGUUCAUUGAAAAGUGCGUACAAAUCUCUCUCUCUUUCUCUCUGUCUCAGUCUCGCGCACACACAGCCACCAUUGAGUGUUAACAGCGAUGAUGAUGAUGCGAGCUGACGUUAUGCCUAAUCUGUGUUCUUAUUAUUUUUUGUGUGUGUGUGUUUUGCAUUUAUUGUGGUCUUUUGUGUGUUUUAUGUCCAGAGUUUGAUCACACUCUUGGUCCAAAGGCUUUGUAAAUAGACUGUGUACAGUACAACUCCUGAGACAUGAUGUGAGGAGACAUGAUGAUUACAAGUGUGUGUGGUCUUUUGGAAUGCAAACACGUUUGUCCUCUAAACACUGCCUUUUCUCUGGAGCUCUGUCGCAGUGUACUGAACACACACACACACACACACACACACACACACACACACACAUGCAUACAUUUGUCUGUAAUACACAGCUGUUGUUGUGUAUGUACAUUUGUAUGUUUUUAUUGUAUUGACUGUGUGCUCUUCAGUACGUUCCCUCUCUCUUUUACAGUCGAUCAGAAAAAUCACGCUCCUAUCGGACGAAACGAGCCAUUUCACAGUAUCAGUAUCCCAGUCCUUAUCAACGGUGGGCAUUUUAGACAAAAUACUUGGUUUCGAAUGCACUUCUAUCGUUCUACAGAAUCAAGUCCCACUACGACAUUAUUUCAUGGUUUACCUACUCAGGCGUCGCGAUUGCCUCUUUAAAUUAAAAGCUGUGAUUGACACAUGUCUGUGCCACCCUCUAAACUGUGCAGUGUAUUCAAAUCGUCCCUCAUAUAUAUUUGUGUGUGUGUGUGUGUGUGUGUGUGUGUGUGUGUGUGUGUGUGUGACUCUGAAAAUUACAGCAUGGUAUCCGCUGACAGCAGGCAGCAUCGCUGAUAUAAAGUGUAA